AAUCCAUGUAUCGGACAUUUUUGAAGGAAUUCUUUAAAUCAUUCCCAAGCUUCAUAUAACGUUUCAUCCUCCACUUCUCGAAAAGAUGUGAUGUCAUUUCUAAGCUU
Gossypium raimondii (Peruvian cotton) is the source of this 107-nucleotide small nucleolar RNA. It matches the Rfam family "Plant small nucleolar RNA R71". Rfam says of the family: R71 is a member of the C/D box family of snoRNAs containing the C (UGAUGA) and D (CUGA) box motifs. Multiple nearly identical copies of this snoRNA have been identified in Arabidopsis, and it is thought to function as a 2'-O-ribose methylation guide for 18S ribosomal RNA. NCBI's taxonomy places the organism in Eukaryota, Viridiplantae, Streptophyta, Magnoliopsida, Malvales, Malvaceae. The record is from Rfam.